RNAcentral lists this ribosomal RNA (497 nucleotides) under uncultured bacterium. RNAcentral's name for it is "partial 16S ribosomal RNA". It matches the Rfam family "Bacterial small subunit ribosomal RNA", at positions 28 to 507 of the family's 1533-position model. The record is from RNAcentral.
GAUGAACGCUGGCGGCGUGCCUAAUACAUGCAAGUCGAGCGAACAGACGAUGAGCUUGCUCCUCUGACGUUAGCGGCGGACGGGUGAGUAACACGUGGAUAACCUACCUAUAAGUCUUGGAUAACUUCGGGAAACCGGAGCUAAUACCGGAUCAUAUAUUGAACCGCAUGGAUCAAUAGUGAAAGACGGUUUUGCUGUCUCUUUUAGAUGGAUCCGCGCCGCAUUAGCUAGUUGGUAAGGUAACGGCUUACCAAGGCGACGAUGCGUAGCCGACCUGAGAGGGUGAUCAGCCACACUGGAACUGAGACACGGUCCAGACUCCUACGGGAGGCAGCAGUAGGGAAUAUUGGGCAAUGGGCGAAAGCCUGAUCGAGCCAUGCCGCGUGAGUGAAGAAGGUCUUCUGAUCGUAAAGCUCUUUUGUUAGGGAAGAAAAAAUGUGUAAGUAACUCUGGAUGUUUUGACGGUACCUAAUGAGAAAGCAACGGCUAACUACGUG